CUUCACGCGGCGAGGUGUGCCAGCGUCGCUGUAUUUUCUUGCGGCUCCUCUCCACCGACGGCCAGACCGUGGCCCUCGCAGCACCCUGCUCUGGGACGUCGCCUGCAGAUGAGCAGCAGUAGUAGUACGGCCGAUAUAUCAGCUUCUCCGGACAGGAGUCGACCACAUCUGCUGGGAGCUACCUUGGGAGGGACAGCAGUUUUCAGGUGGAGUGGCUCAGGUGGAGUGGAUUUGGAUUAUACAUUAUUGCUACCAGCGAUCUGAGGAUCGGAGAUUGAAGAAGAUGAAUCAUGUACUGGCAGCUUGGUUGCGUUGUAUGCAGAAACUUUA
Molecule: long non-coding RNA, 330 nt
Organism: Lolium rigidum
Lineage: Eukaryota; Viridiplantae; Streptophyta; Magnoliopsida; Poales; Poaceae
Exons: 3
Source: RefSeq, a predicted model, not a curated record